AGUGAACGCUGGCGGUAGGCCUAACACAUGCAAGUCGAACGGCAGCACAGUAAGAGCUUGCUCUUACGGGUGGCGAGUGGCGGACGGGUGAGGAAUACAUCGGAAUCUACUUUUUCGUGGGGGAUAACGUAGGGAAACUUACGCUAAUACCGCAUACGACCUACGGGUGAAAGCAGGGGGUCUUCGGACCUUGCGCGAUUGAAUGAGCCGAUGUCGGAUUGGCUAGUUGGCGGGGUAAAGGCCCACCAAGGCGACGAUCCGUAGCUGGUCUGAGAGGAUGAUCAGCCACACUGGAACUGAGACACGGUCCAGACUCCUACGGGAGGCAGCAGUGGGGAAUAUUGGACAAUGGGCGCAAGCCUGAUCCAGCCAUACCGCGUGGGUGAAGAAGGCCUUCGGGUUGUAAAGCCCUUUUGUUGGGAAAGAAAAGCAGCAGGUUAAUACCCCGCUGUUCUGACGGUACCCAAAGAAUAAGCACCGGCUAACUUCGUG
This 492-nucleotide ribosomal RNA is filed under the name uncultured bacterium. RNAcentral's name for it is "partial 16S ribosomal RNA". It matches the Rfam family "Bacterial small subunit ribosomal RNA", at positions 29 to 507 of the family's 1533-position model. The record is from RNAcentral.